GUGAACGUAGUUUAGUAAAAACACUAGGUUGUGAUCCUAGAGAAGGGAGAUGAUUUCUCUUCGCUCACC
RNAcentral lists this transfer RNA (69 nucleotides) under Hemisus marmoratus (mottled shovel-nosed frog). RNAcentral's name for it is "tRNA-His". It matches the Rfam family "tRNA". From Rfam's summary of the family: Transfer RNA (tRNA) molecules are approximately 80 nucleotides in length. Their secondary structure includes four short double-helical elements and three loops (D, anti-codon, and T loops). Further hydrogen bonds mediate the characteristic L-shaped molecular structure. tRNAs have two regions of fundamental functional importance: the anti-codon, which is responsible for specific mRNA codon recognition, and the 3' end, to which the tRNAs corresponding amino acid is attached (by aminoacyl-tRNA synthetases). tRNAs cope with the degeneracy of the genetic code in two manners: having more than one tRNA (with a specific anti-codon) for a particular amino acid; and 'wobble' base-pairing, i.e. permitting non-standard base-pairing at the 3rd anti-codon position. Lineage: Eukaryota; Metazoa; Chordata; Amphibia; Anura; Hemisotidae. The record is from RNAcentral.